This 253-nucleotide ribosomal RNA is filed under the name uncultured bacterium. Its description in RNAcentral is "partial 16S ribosomal RNA". It matches the Rfam family "Bacterial small subunit ribosomal RNA", at positions 524 to 776 of the family's 1533-position model. The record is from RNAcentral.
UACAGAGGUCCCAAGCGUUGUUCGGAUUCAUUGGGCGUAAAGGGCGCGUAGGCGGCCUACUAAGUCGAACGUGAAAUCCCUGGGCUCAACCCAGGAACUGCGUCCGAUACUGGGAGGCUUGAAUCCGGGAGAGGGAUGCGGAAUUCCAGGUGUAGCGGUGAAAUGCGUAGAUAUCUGGAGGAACACCGGUGGCGAAGGCGGCAUCCUGGACCGGCAUUGACGCUGAGGCGCGAAAGCCAGGGGAGCAAACGGG